This 254-nucleotide ribosomal RNA is filed under the name uncultured bacterium. Its description in RNAcentral is "partial 16S ribosomal RNA". It matches the Rfam family "Bacterial small subunit ribosomal RNA", at positions 524 to 776 of the family's 1533-position model. The record is from RNAcentral.
UACGUAGGGUGCAAGCGUUGUCCGGAUUUAUUGGGCGUAAAGAGCUCGUAGGCGGUUUUGAAAGUCAGGUGUGAAACCUCCAGGCUCAACCUGGAGACGCCACUUGAUACUUCAAUGACUUGAGUUCGGUAGGGGUAAGCGGAAUUCCUGGUGUAGCGGUGAAAUGCACAGAUAUCAGGAGGAACACCGAUGGCGAAGGCAGCUUACUGGGCCGAUACUGACGCUGAGGAGCGAAAGCGUGGGGAGCGAACAGG